This 380-nucleotide unclassified non-coding RNA is filed under the name uncultured Gammaproteobacteria bacterium. Its description in RNAcentral is "partial 16S-23S ribosomal RNA intergenic spacer". The record is from RNAcentral. Lineage: Bacteria; Pseudomonadati; Pseudomonadota; Gammaproteobacteria.
CCUCCUUAUAACGAAGUUACACUUACAGAGUGUUCACACAAAUAAUUAAUUACGAAGUUUUAAGAGAGCUCUAACCCAUGCGCACAGUAUGUGCUCAUCAGUUAGGGUUUUUAACCCGGACGUGUAAACGUCAUGCUCUUUAACAAUUUGGAAAGCUGAUAAAAUAAGGUAAACAUUAUUGUUUAUUUAAUUUGUUAUUCAACAAUUUAAAAAAUAAUUUUGAUUAUCACUGUAAGAGAAAACUCAAGCGUUAUUUAUGUCAAAACGAACAUGCCUAUACAACAUGUCUCGUUAAUAAAUAUGACACAAGAUGAUGCAAUCGAGAAUGUGAGAACAUUUAAGGUUGUAUGGUUAAGUGAAUAAGCGUAUACGGUGGAUGC